UACGGAGGGAGCUAGCGUUGUUCGGAAUUACUGGGCGUAUAGCGUACGUAGGCGGUUACUCAAGUCAGAGGUGAAAGCCCGGGGCUCAACCCCGGAACUGCCUUUGAAACUAGGUAGCUAGAAUCUUGGAGAGGUCAGUGGAAUUCCGAGUGUAGAGGUGAAAUUCGUAGAUAUUCGGAAGAACACCAGUGGCGAAGGCGACUGACUGGACAAGUAUUGACGCUGAGGUACGAAAGCGUGGGGAGCAAACAGG
RNAcentral lists this ribosomal RNA (253 nucleotides) under uncultured bacterium. Its description in RNAcentral is "partial 16S ribosomal RNA". It matches the Rfam family "Bacterial small subunit ribosomal RNA", at positions 524 to 776 of the family's 1533-position model. The record is from RNAcentral.